AGAGUUUGAUCAUGGCUCAGAGCGAACGCUGGCGGCGUGCUUAACACAUGCAAGUCGAGUGCGCGUCUGUAGCAAUACAGAUGGCGCCCGGCGCACGGGUGCGUAACACGUGGGUAAUCUGCCCUUCGAUGGGGAAUAUCUUCGGGAAACCGAAGCGAAUUCCGCAUAACAUUCCUUGAACUUCGGUUUGGGGACUCAAAGCCGUAAGGCGUCGGAGGAGGAACCCGCGCACGAUUAGCUAGUUGGUAGGGUAACGGCCUACCAAGGCUUUGAUCGUUAGCUGGUCUGAGAGGAUGGCCAGCCACACUGGAACUGAGACACGGUCCAGACUCCUACGGGAGGCAGCAGUGGGGAAUCUUGCACAAUGGGCGAAAGCCUGAUGCAGCGACGCCGCGUGGGGGAUGAAGCUUUUCGGAGUGUAAACCCCUUUCGACCCGGACGAAUGCCCCGCAAGGGGACUGACGGUACGGGUAUAAGAAGCCCCGGCUAACUACGUGCCAGCAGCCGCGGUAAGACGUGGGGGGCCAGCGUUGCUCGGAAUUACUGGGUGUAAAGGGUUCGUAGGCGGUGUGGCAAGUCGGGAGUGAAAUCUCUGGGCUUAACCCAGAGUCUGCUUCCGAAACUGCUGUGCUUGAGUGUGGGAGAGGCGCGUGGAAUUGCAGGUGUAGCGGUGAAAUGCGUAGAUAUCUGCAGGAACACCCGUGGCGAAAGCGGCGCGCUGGACCACUACUGACGCUGAGGAACGAAAGCUAGGGGAGCAAACAGGAUUAGAUACCCUGGUAGUCCUAGCCCUAAACGAUCAGGACUUGGGGUGCCGCACGUUCGUGCGUCGUCCCGGAGCUACGCGUUAAGUCCUGCACCUGGGGGGUACGGUCGCAGACUGAAACUCAAAGGAAUUGACGGGGGCCCGCACAAGCGGUGGAACAUGUGGUUCAAUUC
RNAcentral lists this ribosomal RNA (939 nucleotides) under uncultured bacterium. RNAcentral's name for it is "bacterial SSU rRNA". It matches the Rfam family "Bacterial small subunit ribosomal RNA", at positions 8 to 952 of the family's 1533-position model. The record is from RNAcentral.